AUAAAUCUAAUCAAUACAUAUAAAAGCACGCAUACAUAUAAUCCCAUAUUAUAUUUUAAAAGAGAGCAAGAGAAGUACUGAACUUAAAAAACUAAUUACAUACAUAUUUACAAACUAACAGUGAAAUGUAGAAAGAGAGAAAAGUAAUGAGUUCAAAAUAAUAAAAUUUUUACGUGGAGGAAGGAACAAACCUGUUGAAGUUGACAUACGGAGAAGAAUGAAGUUUUUUGUUGUAAAAAAAGUGAUAAAUCGUUGCUCUUCGUAAAGGCAAACUAGCGGAAAGAAUUAUGAAAGACUUCUAAUUUAGGGCUUUUAGCAAUAUUAAAAAGUUUACUUCUAAAUUUAAUAUUUUUAAUUUCUUUUUAAAAAGAUGUCUCUUAGGCUUACGUCUCAACCAAAAAACUCGCCUGGGUGUACGCCUCGAACUUCUGGGUGUACGCCUUAUGGGACUUUCGCCCCCAGGAUCGCCCCGGGGCGUUUUUGGUACGCCUUGCCCCAGGACUUACCCCAAGAACACCUUUUAAAACACUGGUGCUGCUGAUGACUCUGAAAAUAUGCACUGAUCGCCAUAGGGCAGAUAAGCCUUUGUCCGCUAACUCUAAAGUAUCAUCAUCUUUGUGUGUAUUGAUGCAACUGUUUAUCUAUUAAAAAGAAAAGCAUUAGCCUUCUAAGCUUUUAAAAGAGAAGCUUUGAUACUGCUGCGAAGUUUUGGACUGUAUUAUUUGGUGUAAUAUAUUUCAUUCAUUACACAAAUGAUAUCAGAGUCUUUGGGUGUGAAUCACACUUAAAUUGGAGGACAUUUUAUGUUUGUAACUAGUAUUGAUAAAUUUUUGGUUCCUAUACGCUAUAGAUAAAAUGUGGAAAUGUUAUAUCUUAGAAUGCAUGAAUUAUUGAAUUAUUAGUUCCAAUUUGUAAGUGUUUAGAGAGGAAUAAACAAACAACAAAAGCCCAGUUUGAUCCCAUAAAUGGGGUCGGGGGAGGGUAGUGUGUACGCAGACCAUACUCCUACCUCAUAGAGAUAGAGAGGCUGUUUCCGAUAGACCUUUGGCUCAAGGAACCAGAGGGGAAUAAACACACAGAUAAAAUGACAGCUACUUGCAAGAUCCAAUUUAAGACCUCAACCUGCUUUGUUACAUAAAUGAUAAAUGCAAAUGUGGAAUUAACCAUUUUAAAGGAUCGUCGUGGAUAAAUACUACACAAGUUAGUGAUAAUUAAUAACCUUUCUUAAAUUCUCACCUUCAUUAAGUGUUUUUCACAUUGUACUUGCCCUUUGUAUUGAUCUUCAAGUGCUUUACGGAGCAUUGGGAGCUCUAAUAACAACACCUUCGGAAAGGAGACGUCUAAUACCAUUGGAACUUCCAAAUAGGAGAAAUACAUAUGUGUACUGGAGAUCGAGUCAUAGGGAAAAAGGUUUGACAGAGAUUUGGAUUUGGAUUUGAAAUGAGCCUAUAGCAUAAUAGAUUUCCAUUUGAACGGUAAAAUCCUCUGUGUAAGAGGAAAGAUCCUUGUUCGAAUCAUGUGAUGAAUAAAAUAUGUGCUGUAUGUUAAUAAUUCUAAGUAGUGAUUUGUGACUUUAGCUUAUCCUGAGAAAAUUAAAAUUGCCAGUGAUGACUUUAACUUUCAUUGGUGAAUUUUCUAGCUUGCUAAUAGUUGGCUUGUAUGUGCAGAGGGUAUGUACAUGAUGGAAGUCGAUCGAGUUUUGAGACCUGGUGGAUACUGGAUACUCUCUGGUCCUCCACUUAAUUGGAAGAUCUAUCACAAAGUCUGGAACAGGACAAUUGCGGAUGUGAAAGCUGAGCAAAAGAGGAUUGAAGAUUUUGCUGAGCUUCUUUGCUGGGAGAAGAAAUAUGAAAAAGGUGAUGUAGCUAUAUGGAGGAAAAAAAUUAAUGGAAAAUCAUGCAGCAGAAGGAAAUCUACCAAAA
Molecule: long non-coding RNA, 1922 nt
Filed under: Nicotiana benthamiana
Lineage: Eukaryota; Viridiplantae; Streptophyta; Magnoliopsida; Solanales; Solanaceae
Description: long non-coding RNA (NBEN_LNC031497)
Source: RNAcentral